AUGGCAAUUGUCCAUACAUACGGGAAGCUUGACAUCUUCUUGACCAUGACUUGCAAUCCUAAAUGGGAAGAGAUAUCGAAUGAGUUGUUGCCUGGUCAGACGGCGCAAGACCGACCUGAUAUUGUGGCUCGCGUGUUCUACGGCAAACUAGAGGCUAUGAAAGACAUUUUGUUCAAGAAGCAUAUUCUGGGUGUUGUUGUUGCUUAUGUUUACGUAGUCGAGUUCCAAAAAAGGGGCCUUCCCAAUGCACAUUUUUUGUUGAUCAUGGACUCAGCAUAUAAGCUUAUCAUCCCGGAGCAAUAUGACCGACUCAUUUCCGCUGAGCUCCCAGACAAGCAUAAGUAUCCGGAAUUGUAUGCAAUGGUGGUAAAACAUAUGAUGCACCCAAAAAAUGUAUGCAUGCAAGAAAACGGAUGCAAGUGCAGAUACCCGCGGCCGUUCAAUGAAAACACAUCACAAGGGAAGGACUCCUACCCAAUUUAUCGGCGGAGAGACGAUGGUAGACGUUCUAAGGUCUGA
Molecule: ribosomal RNA, 519 nt
Filed under: Triticum aestivum (bread wheat)
Lineage: Eukaryota; Viridiplantae; Streptophyta; Magnoliopsida; Poales; Poaceae
Description: partial small subunit ribosomal RNA
Source: RNAcentral